Molecule: ribosomal RNA, 887 nt
Filed under: Staphylococcus devriesei
Lineage: Bacteria; Bacillati; Bacillota; Bacilli; Caryophanales; Staphylococcaceae
Description: bacterial SSU rRNA
Rfam family: Bacterial small subunit ribosomal RNA
Source: RNAcentral
GAUGAACGCUGGCGGCGUGCCUAAUACAUGCAAGUCGAGCGAACAGAUAAGGAGCUUGCUCCUUUGACGUUAGCGGCGGACGGGUGAGUAACACGUGGGUAACCUACCUAUAAGACUGGGAUAACUUCGGGAAACCGGAGCUAAUACCGGAUAAUAUUUCGAACCGCAUGGUUCGAUAGUGAAAGAUGGUUUUGCUAUCACUUAUAGAUGGACCCGCGCCGUAUUAGCUAGUUGGUAAGGUAACGGCUUACCAAGGCGACGAUACGUAGCCGACCUGAGAGGGUGAUCGGCCACACUGGAACUGAGACACGGUCCAGACUCCUACGGGAGGCAGCAGUAGGGAAUCUUCCGCAAUGGGCGAAAGCCUGACGGAGCAACGCCGCGUGAGUGAUGAAGGUCUUCGGAUCGUAAAACUCUGUUAUUAGGGAAGAACAUACGUGUAAGUAACUGUGCACGUCUUGACGGUACCUAAUCAGAAAGCCACGGCUAACUACGUGCCAGCAGCCGCGGUAAUACGUAGGUGGCAAGCGUUAUCCGGAAUUAUUGGGCGUAAAGCGCGCGUAGGCGGUUUUUUAAGUCUGAUGUGAAAGCCCACGGCUCAACCGUGGAGGGUCAUUGGAAACUGGAAAACUUGAGUGCAGAAGAGGAAAGUGGAAUUCCAUGUGUAGCGGUGAAAUGCGCAGAGAUAUGGAGGAACACCAGUGGCGAAGGCGACUUUCUGGUCUGUAACUGACGCUGAUGUGCGAAAGCGUGGGGAUCAAACAGGAUUAGAUACCCUGGUAGUCCACGCCGUAAACGAUGAGUGCUAAGUGUUAGGGGGUUUCCGCCCCUUAGUGCUGCAGCUAACGCAUUAAGCACUCCGCCUGGGGAGUACGACCGCAAGGUUG